Paramuricea clavata is the source of this 501-nucleotide non-coding RNA. NCBI's taxonomy places the organism in Eukaryota, Metazoa, Cnidaria, Anthozoa, Malacalcyonacea, Plexauridae. The record is from the annotation of a GenBank genome assembly.
AUGUUGAUUUAUACUGCCGUGCUUUACAUGAGCCGUACCAAAUGCAUAAAUUAUGAUAAUAUAGAAGAUUUAUAGUACGCGAGCGUUGAUUGGUCGAGAAGCGUGUUUCUACACGGGAAAUUUCCCGCCUAAACUUACAAUCGUAAGCAAAACAAUUUUAAUGGGCCUUAUCGGCAAAUUUCGCGGUAGAAUUUCCCUUUCUUUUCUUUAUAUACGUCAAUUUGUAGCAAAGGAUACAUACACCUUUCGUUAUAUUCUUUGCAUGAAAGUUGCGAAAUUAAGGCUUAUCUUGCAGUGUAAUUAAUGGAGCAAAGGUCGGCAUCAUUACGUAAUGCGAAUUUGUAAAUAUAUCGAGUCUACUACAAAUCUUUUUUUAGUUAUAUUAUGAAAUAAACUGAUAUAAAACAUUUAUUAUGUGUAACCCAUACAGUUAUAGAAACACUUGUAGUAGUUUGAGAGAACUCGAAUAACGUGGAAAAACGCGAAAAAGCCAGUGGCGUA